GAUGAACGCUGGCGGCGUGCCUAAUACAUGCAGGUAGAACGCUGAAGGAGGAGCUUGCUCUUCUGGAUGAGUUGCGAACGGGUGAGUAACGCGUAGGUAACCUGCCUGGUAGCGGGGGAUAACUAUUGGAAACGAUAGCUAAUACCGCAUGACAACAGUUAUUGCAUGAUAACUGUUUAAAAGGGGCAACUGCUCCACUACCAGAUGGACCUGCGUUGUAUUAGCUAGUUGGUGAGGUAACGGCUCACCAAGGCGACGAUACAUAGCCGACCUGAGAGGGUGAUCGGCCACACUGGGACUGAGACACGGCCCAGACUCCUACGGGAGGCAGCAGUAGGGAAUCUUCGGCAAUGGACGGAAGUCUGACCGAGCAACGCCGCGUGAGUGAAGAAGGUUUUCGGAUCGUAAAGCUCUGUUGUAAGAGAAGAACGAGUGUGAGAGUGGAAAGUUCACACUGUGACGGUAUCUUACCAGAAAGGGACGGCUAACUACGUG
Molecule: ribosomal RNA, 495 nt
Filed under: uncultured bacterium
Lineage: Bacteria
Description: partial 16S ribosomal RNA
Rfam family: Bacterial small subunit ribosomal RNA
Source: RNAcentral